GUUGUGCAAGGAGAUCACAAACUCCAGUAUCACAGAAUAAGGGACUACCUGCAGUGUGUGCUAGAUACUAACCCUGGCAGUAGGUGCAUAGUAACAACACAUGAGGACCCACUUAACCCAGCUCCUACCCCAAGGUUUCACUAUAUGUUUUACUGCUUGUUUGCAUGCAAGGAGGGUUUUCUGAAUGGAUGCAGGCCAUUUAUAGGUCUGGAUGGUUGCUUCAUCAAGCUAAGCACUGGUCAGCAGAUAUUGGCAGCUACAGGGAGGGAUGGCAACAAUAACAUCUUCCCAAUAGCUUUU
This 300-nucleotide ribosomal RNA is filed under the name Triticum aestivum (bread wheat). RNAcentral's name for it is "partial small subunit ribosomal RNA". The record is from RNAcentral. Lineage: Eukaryota; Viridiplantae; Streptophyta; Magnoliopsida; Poales; Poaceae.